This 301-nucleotide ribosomal RNA is filed under the name uncultured bacterium. Its description in RNAcentral is "partial 16S ribosomal RNA". It matches the Rfam family "Bacterial small subunit ribosomal RNA", at positions 509 to 807 of the family's 1533-position model. The record is from RNAcentral.
CAGCAGCCACGGUAAUACGGAGGGGGCUAGCGUUGUUCGGAAUUACUGGGCGUAAAGCGCACGUAGGCUGCUUUGUAAGUUAGAGGUGAAAGCCUGGUGCUCAACACCAGAACUGCCUUUAAGACUGCAGAGCUAGAACGUCGGAGAGGUGAGUGGAAUUCCGAGUGUAGAGGUGAAGUUCGUAGAUAUUCGGAAGAACACCAGUGGCGAAGGCGGCUCACUGGACGACUGUUGACGCUGAGGUGCGAAAGCGUGGGGAGCAAACAGGAUUAGAUACCCGGGUAGUCCCUGUCUCUUAUAC